This 440-nucleotide ribosomal RNA is filed under the name uncultured bacterium. RNAcentral describes it as "bacterial SSU rRNA". It matches the Rfam family "Bacterial small subunit ribosomal RNA", at positions 958 to 1398 of the family's 1533-position model. The record is from RNAcentral.
AACGCGAAGAACCUUACCUGGGCUUGAACUGUAUUGGAAUAUGUCAGAAACGACAUAGCCGUAAGGCCGGUACAGAGGUGCUGCAUGGCUGUCGUCAGCUCGUGCCGUGAGGUGUUUGGUUAAGUCCAGCAACGAGCGCAACCCUUAUCGUUAGUUGCCAGCGAGUAAUGUCGGGAACUCUAGCGAGACUGCCUAGGUCAACUAGGAGGAAGGUGAGGAUGACGUCAAGUCCGCAUGGCCUUUAUGUCCAGGGCUACACACGUGCUACAAUGGUCGAUACAAAAGGUUGCCAAACCGCGAGGUGGAGCUAAUCCUAUAAAGUCGAUCUCAGUUCGGAUUGCAGCCUGCAACUCGGCUGCAUGAAGUUGGAAUUGCUAGUAAUGGCGUGUCAGCUACAACGCCGUGAAUACGUUCCCGGGCCUUGUACACACCGAGACGUA